RNAcentral lists this microRNA precursor (90 nucleotides) under Canis lupus familiaris (dog). RNAcentral describes it as "mir-8799 microRNA precursor family". It matches the Rfam family "mir-8799 microRNA precursor family". Lineage: Eukaryota; Metazoa; Chordata; Mammalia; Carnivora; Canidae. RNAcentral also lists the same sequence under 1 other name. The record is from Rfam by way of RNAcentral.
GGGGGGAGGCCAGAUCCUGGGCUGUAUCCCAGGCGCCCUGUGCUCCUGGUCUGCGCUGUUGGAAUCGUGCUCCUGGCUGUGCAGCCCCCU